CCUACGGGAGACAGCAGUAGGGAAUCUUCCACAAUGGGCGAAAGCCUGAUGGAGCAACGCCGCGUGGGUGAAGAAGGUCUUCGAAUCGUACAACCCUGUUGUUAGAGAAGCAAGUGCGUGAGAGUCACUGUUCACGUUUCGACGGUAUCUAACCAGAAAGCCACGGCUAACUACUUGCCAGCCGCCGCGGUAAUACGUAGGUGGCAAGCGUUAUCCGGAUUUAUUGGGCGUAAAGGGAACGCAGGCGGUCUUUUAAGUCUGAUGUGAAAGCCUUCGGCUUAACCGGAGUAGUGCAUUGGAAACUGGGAGACUUGAGUGCAGAAGAGGAGAGUGGAACUCCAUGUGUAGCGGUGAAAUGCGUAGAUAUAUGGAAGAACACCAGUGGCGAAAGCGGCUCUCUGGUCUGUAACUGACGCUGAGGUUCGAAAGCGUGGGUAGCAAACAGGAUUAGAUACCCGGGUAGUC
RNAcentral lists this ribosomal RNA (465 nucleotides) under uncultured bacterium. RNAcentral describes it as "partial 16S ribosomal RNA". It matches the Rfam family "Bacterial small subunit ribosomal RNA", at positions 338 to 795 of the family's 1533-position model. The record is from RNAcentral.